GACGAACGCUGGUGGCGUGCUUAACACAUGCAAGUCGAACGGGAUUUAGUAAACAGCAGCCUCGGUGGAAGAUUACUAAUGAGAGUGGCGAACGGGUGAGUAACGCGUGAGCAACCUGCCUAUGACAGUGGGAUAGCCUCGGGAAACCGGGAUUAAUACCGCAUAAAAUCGUAGAAACACAUGUUUUAACGGUCAAAGAUUUAUCGGUCAUAGAUGGGCUCGCGUCUGAUUAGCUAGUUGGUGAGAUAACAGCCCACCAAGGCGACGAUCAGUAGCCGGUCUGAGAGGAUGAACGGCCACAUUGGAACUGAGACACGGUCCAAACUCCUACGGGAGGCAGCAGUGGGGAAUAUUGCACAAUGGGGGAAACCCUGAUGCAGCGACGCCGCGUGAACGAAGAAGGUAUUCGUAUCGUAAAGUUCUGUCCUAUGGGAAGAUAAUGACAGUACCAUAGAAGAAAGCUCCGGCUAAAUACGU
Molecule: ribosomal RNA, 477 nt
Filed under: uncultured bacterium
Lineage: Bacteria
Description: partial 16S ribosomal RNA
Rfam family: Bacterial small subunit ribosomal RNA
Source: RNAcentral